RNAcentral lists this unclassified non-coding RNA (4339 nucleotides) under Hevea brasiliensis (rubber tree). The record is from RNAcentral. Lineage: Eukaryota; Viridiplantae; Streptophyta; Magnoliopsida; Malpighiales; Euphorbiaceae.
CAACUCUCCACAUGGCUGUUUCUUCUGAAACACAAUGCUUACAUUAAAAAACAGAAUAAUCAUAUCACUAGAAAAGUAAUCUUGAGUACAAAUACAUCGAGUUCGAUGCUAAUCAAGUCAUUUCCUCCCUACAUAACACCCCAUUGGAGGUAGUUUCCUAUGAAUCAAAACCCAAUUACAACCAAGCGUGUUUAUUUUACAGUUUUUCUCCAGCCACCCAGCAGAUAUACAAGAAAAUCUAAAAGACGACACCUGCAAUGAAGCCCUCAUAAUUGGUAUGCUAGCUCUCCUUCAGAAUCCAAAGUUCUUCUCAAAGGGUUGUUCCUGUACCAGACAUGCACAUACUCAUGCCAAAAUAAAAAUAUGACGAUGAAAGGCACUGAAUACCACAAGCAUGGCAGGGAUAGCUUUUCUAUUUAGUGCCUCCAGUUGGCAUGUUUUACCAUGCCUUGCACUCGAAUGGAGAGAUCUCUCUCACUGCCGAAUGGGAACUAUGCCAAUGGAAAAUCAUUAGAGGUUCAACCAUAUCCACAAUGUUACUGCUGAUUCAAGCCAGAUAUUUCCUGAGCAACAGGAUUUGAUGUUUCCUGAACUGCCCGUGUCUUGACCUGAUAAACCUACCGCAUCUGCUUCUCACUUGCACCCUUUUCUUGUCUAAAGUUAGUCUCAGCAUCUCCUGCUGGCCUAAAAAUCCACUUGGUAGGAGGUGAUGGAAGUGGACCUAUGUUCUGCUCAACCUGGUGGUGCAUAUUUGAAUUACUCCCUGUAUUUGGCACGCGCUGCAAUAUUACUACAGGCGGUCUGCUUCUGACAUUUUCUUCUACAGUCAAAGCAGAUAUCCCACUCUUUAUAUCAUGGUACUGUUCAGGGUAUUGUACUCUGUCCUGAGUCUUAAAGUUGUGCCGAUUGCCUGGCAUGCCAUUUGAUAUUGGAGAAAAUCUAGGAUUGCUCAUUAGGCCUUGUUGGUUACCGUAAUGCCCAUAAUAAUAGUUUGGGUCAUAAUUGUAGCUCCUUUCAUUUCCAGAGGGUCCAGCUGGUCUAGGUCUGUUGAACAUAGGAUUCCCUGGGAUAUUGCGAUAUGGCGGUUGCUCAAAAUAUCUCGAAGAUGACCCAUUUGGUCUGAUAUUAAGCGUGUUCUUGACAAGCCGGUGAGCUGCUUCACCCAACAGAGGGCCAGCUAUUCCUCUAGGUACUUGUGGCCUUUCUCUGCCUUGCUGGCGUCGACCAUUAUCUUCAUGCCAUAAUGUGGGGAAUGGUUUAAUAUCUAUAGGUUUUAAGAUCUUUUCAGGCAUGACCACACCAGUGGGAGGUUCAGGUACGUGUCUAUGAUUUAUAGGAUUAAGAUAUGUAAUAUUUAAAACUUGGUUGGGCUCUAUGUCUGGCAACCCACUGACAGGUGAAGGGACCAUACUUCUCCAGACAUUCCUCUCAGUUAACCAAAGAUAGCCAUUCAUGCCAGCACUGGCAUUUGUGUCAAUUUCCCAACAACACCUUUGCAAUGGAAGUAACAAACGGGUAACUUCAUGGUAUGAGAAGAUUUCUGCUGCCAAAGGAUGAGCAGGAUGAACAUACAGCAAAUCUAGCAUUUUACUAUUACGGAACCGUUCUUUGUCCGUUAAAGUGCUUUCAAGUUUCUUUGUUUGGGCAAGCAAUUUCCUCUCAUCAAUGAAUGGCAAUUUGGCAAUACCCUGGCUUCCAACAAUGAAAUGCAAGACAACAUUUGUUAGUUGGCAACAAAUAACAAUAAUUUUCAUAGCAAGGCCAAGAGAAGGUACAGGAGAAUUAACCUGCCAGGCAAAGCGUUUACCAUUCAUGUCAAUCUCAAAAUCUGCUCACAAAAAGAGACCCAACUAAUCUUGCAAAAGUAAUGAAGAUAUCCAAAAGUUAAAUAGAUAAUAUCCGUACAUCAAUUUUACCUGAGGGAAAGAAGUUAUGUAUUGGUGAUGAUGGGUCAGUCAUCAAUUUCCUGUAUUCUUCAGGCAACGCAUUAGAACUUGCAGCAGGUAGGGUUCCCAUUAGCUGAUCAAAGGGUUUAAAUGGCUCUCCCAAAAAGAAAGUUAUUUCUAAGUCAGCAAGAUCCUUGAGAUCAGAGGCAAAUGGAGCAUAAUGGUAUGGAUAAAACCAUUGCCAAGAGCAAACACCUUGGUAGUAAUAUCGGCAGACCCAACACAAACCUUCCACAUACUUCAAAACUACAUCUUCUCUAAAUUUGUCGAUUUCAUCUGGAUUUGAUAUACCAAAUUUCUCAGAGUAAUAUCUUUCUUUGUAACCAGGCUCCCCCAAUUUAACCUUAUCUACAGCCAGUGCCUGCGACUCUUCAGAGUACUCUUUUCUUGCUUUGAGUCUCAUCUCUUCAUUAUUCUCCAAAGCCUGCUGUAUACGAGUCCUUUUCUGAAAGAUCUGCUCUUCAUAAACAGCAACUGACUGGAUAAAAUGUUCUACUCUGUCAAGAUUUACCUCACCCGCAUCAGUAAGAUAACCGUUCAUCACAGCAAACUCCUUUCUGUACACAUGCAUCAAUAAAUUUAUAGCACCCUCCCUAAUUUCCAAUGUUGGCAUAUGUGGAAGAAAGUCAUUGCCAACAAAGAAACAUAGAAAUACAAAAUCAUCCACUAUACGUUCAAAGUUGAUCUCAAAUGGAGGGUUUGGAAUAUCCAAUUCAUACUGCAAAUAUUCUCGCAACACCCAGAUGUUGAGGAACUGAUAUUUCUUCUUGUGAAUUGGAGUAUCAUCUACCACAACCCAAUCUAAAGCAUCAUCUCCUGGCUUCCCACGACACUCAGCUGCAAGAUGGCCGGCCUGACCACAAAUAAAACACUUUUCCUGUUGCCCAGGAAGUGUGACUAGCUCUCUCAAUAUUGAAAAGUGAAUUUCAUGUGUCGCUAAAGACAGCAUAAUCAAGUCUGCAUCCAGACCAUAUAGACAAUGCCGUGUGUUUGGAUUGAAACCAGGAAGGUUUCUUUGUAAUCUUAUGUAUGACAUGAUUUUGUGCUCUCCCUCACCAGAGACAUUUGCAUCAGAAAGAAUAACCUUCAAAUAAUCACCCAAUGCAGCGCCAUAAAUAAAUUUAGUUACACAAAGUAUCCUUUGUAUACCGCCAGCCUGGAUUCUGAUUCAACCUCAUCUGUAUAUAAUAUUGAAGUGCAAUCGAAAGCACAGCCAUAAAUUGGGUCCCAGGAGUGAUGACAUUAGAGUCGGAUGUUUCAGGCUUUUCUUUUGGAAACAAAAGCUUCCCCUCAGCCUCAAAUUCUUUUCUCAAUCUUUCUUCCUCGGCUUCAGCUUCAGCAGCAUCUUUUGCAGCUCUAAAGCGCCGAGACCGUUGCUGAUUCAUUUUAGCUCUAGGUGCAACCCCAUCAAUUGCCAUAUAUAGAAGCUUCCUCGGUCGAACCAAUAAGAAAAGAUGGUCAAUGUAAUCAAAUAUCGAUUUGAAAACAUCAUCAUAAGUAGGAGGUGCAGGCUGUAAGAAUAAAGAGUAAUAUACUAUCAUCUUUGCUUCCGGUGAAAUAAUAAUGUGGAAAGAUGGAUUGACUACAGAUUACAGAUUAAAUAUUUCAGCUAUUUAACCACCAAUAAGAGCACAAAAAUACUUCUAGUAAAUGCACUAGAUCAUGAUACCAUGUUAAUGCCAAAUCUAAGUUCAUUUAAGGCCAUAAUUAUAACAAAAGUGCAUGUUUUCUUCACAAUCAAAUUAUAAAUUACUCUUCAAAAAUCAGCUUUUUUACAUAUAGUUCCCCAUAUUGACAACCACAGGAGAAGAUGCUUCAACAAAGGUACAUCAUUUCAUACAAACUCGAACUCAUUAACAUUGCAGUUAGAAUGCAAAAGCAAAAACAUUUGAAUUUCAAAUUCCCUUUUACUGCUGGGAGGUCAACAACACGCCAUCAUUAAUUUCUAAUUAAGGGAUGAUCACAUGAGUUGAGCCAAAGGCAAUUUUACUAUGAAUUUGAGUUGACAACACCACAAGCCAUAAUCAAUUUCUCAUAUCUAUGCCAUUCCAAUGAUCCCUAAAGUACAGCCAGUUGAAUUAUUAUAACUAAAAAGUUUUGCAGGUCACAAUGUACCAACUCAAUAACCUAAAUCAGUUAAAAACUUAAUCACUGUUACCCUCUUCUAAAACACAUCAAUUCAUUAAACCCUCUCUAAAGUGUAAUCAAGCCAAGUCAAGUCACUACAAUGUAUUACUCAAAAUAUACUUGAUUCCGUUUAAAAAUUUAAUUACUAAUCUCAAAUUAAAGUUUUUAUCCCACGGGAGUUCAAGCUCAAAUUCAUAAAUUAUUAUCAAAAUACCAUAAUAUAAAUAUAUUUUAAAUUAUAUAUAAAAAAAAAAACCAAACAGAUU